GAUGAAGAACGUAGCGAAAUGCGAUACUUGGUGUGAAUUGCAGAAUCCCGUGAACCAUCGAGUCUUUGAACGCAAGUUGCGCCUCAAGCCAUUAGGCUGAGGGCACGUCUGCCUGGGCGUCACAUAUCGUUGCCUGAUGCCAGUUUCCUCGUGAUGGGUGACUGUGCAGGGCGAAUGAUGGCUUCCCGUGAGCAUUGUUGCCUCAUGGUUGGUUGAAAAUUGAGUCCUUGGUAGGGAGCGCCGUGAUAGAUGGUGGUUGAGUGACGAACGAGACCCAAUCAUGUGAGACCCCUACCGAAUUUGGCCUGCAUGACCCACAUGCGUCUUUGGAACGCUCAUGACGAGACCUCAGGUCAGGCGGGGCUACCCGCUGAGUUUAAGCAUAUCAAUAAGCGGAGGA
Molecule: unclassified non-coding RNA, 400 nt
Filed under: soil metagenome
Description: partial contains 5.8S ribosomal RNA, internal transcribed spacer 2, and large subunit ribosomal RNA
Rfam family: 5.8S ribosomal RNA (bases 1-122)
Source: RNAcentral